CCUACGGGAGACAGCAGUGAGGAAUAUUGGUCAAUGGACGAGAGUCUGAACCAGCCAAGUAGCGUGAAGGAUGACUGCCCUAUGGGUUGUAAACUUCUUUUAUAUGGGAAUAAAACGUUCCACGUGUGGGAUUUUGUAUGUACCAUAUGAAUAAGGAUCGGCUAACUCCGUGCCAGCAGCCGCGGUAAUACGGAGGAUCCGAGCGUUAUCCGGAUUUAUUGGGUUUAAAGGGAGCGUAGGUGGAUUGUUAAGUCAGUUGUGAAAGUUUGCGGCUCAACCGUAAAAUUGCAGUUGAAACUGGCAGUCUUGAGUACAGUAGAGGUGAGCGGAAUUCGUGGUGUAGCGGUGAAAUGCUUAGAUAUCACGAAGAACUCCGAUUGCGAAGGCAGUUCACUGGACUGCAACUGACACUGAGGCUCGAAAGUGUGGGUAUCAAACAGGAUUAGAUACCCGAGUAGUC
This 460-nucleotide ribosomal RNA is filed under the name uncultured bacterium. RNAcentral's name for it is "partial 16S ribosomal RNA". It matches the Rfam family "Bacterial small subunit ribosomal RNA", at positions 338 to 795 of the family's 1533-position model. The record is from RNAcentral.